Molecule: unclassified non-coding RNA, 377 nt
Filed under: uncultured Pseudobdellovibrionaceae bacterium
Lineage: Bacteria; Pseudomonadati; Bdellovibrionota; Bdellovibrionia; Bdellovibrionales; Pseudobdellovibrionaceae
Description: uncultured Bdellovibrionaceae bacterium contains 16S-23S intergenic spacer region
Source: RNAcentral
UCCGACUUAACGUCGGCAGUCUCUUUAGAGUGCCCAACUUAAUGCUGGCAACUAAAGACAAGGGUUGCGCUCGUUAUGGGACUUAACCCGACAUCUCACGACACGAGCUGACGACAGCCAUGCAGCACCUCCGCUACCGGCCCCGAAGGGCAACUAUAUCUCUACAGUCUUCCAAUAGCGUUCGAACCCAGGUAAGGUUUUUCGCGUUGCAUCGAAUUGAACCACAUGCUCCACCGCUUGUGCGGGCCCCCGUCAAUUUCUUUGAGUUUUAAUCUUGCGACCGUACUUCCCAGGCGGGACACUUAACGCGUUAGCUACGGCACUGAAGGGGUCAAUACCUCCAACACCAAGUGUCCAUCGUUUAAGGCGUGGACUAC